AGACCCGAAACCCGGUGAUCUAGCCAUGGGCAGGUUGAAGGUUGGGUAACACUAACUGGAGGACCGAACCGACUAAUGUUGAAAAAUUAGCGGAUGACCUGUGGCUGGGGGUGAAAGGCCAAUCAAACCGGGAGAUAGCUGGUUCUCCCCGAAAGCUAUUUAGGUAGCGCCUCGUGAAUUCAUCUCCGGGGGUAGAGCACUGUUUCGGCUAGGGGGUCAUCCCGACUUACCAACCCGAUGCAAACUGCGAAUACCGGAGAAUGUUAUCACGGGAGACACACGGCGGGUGCUAACGUCCGUCGUGAAGAGGGAAACAACCCAGACCGCCAGCUAAGGUCCCAAAGUCAUGGUUAAGUGGGAAACGAUGUGGGAAGGCCCAGACAGCCAGGAUGUUGGCUUAGAAGCAGCCAUCAUUUAAAGAAAGCGUAAUAGCUCACUGGUCGAGUCGGCCUGCGCGGAAGAUGUAACGGGGCUAAACCAUGCACCGAAGCUGCGGCAGCGACACUCAGGUGUUGUUGGGUAGGGGAGCGUUCUGUAAGCCUGCGAAGGUGGCCUGUGAGGGUUGCUGGAGGUAUCAGAAGUGCGAAUGCUGACAUAAGUAACGAUAAAGCGGGUGAAAAGCCCGCUCGCCGGAAGACCAAGGGUUCCUGUCCAACGUUAAUCGGGGCAGGGUGAGUCGACCCCUAAGGCGAGGCCGAAAGGCGUAGUCGAUGGGAAACGGGUUAAUAUUCCCGUACUUGGUGUUACUGCGAAGGGGGGACGGAGAAGGCUAUGUUGGCCGGGCGACGGUUGUCCCGGUUUAAGCGUGUAGGUGUGUGUUCCAGGUAAAUCCGGUUCACUUUAACACUGAGGCGUGAUGACGAGGCACUACGGUGCUGAAGCAACAAAUGCCCUGCUUCCAGGAAAAGCCUCUAAGCAUCAGGUAACAUCAAAUCGUACCCCAAACCGACACAGGUGGUCAGGUAGAGAAUACCAAGGCGCUUGAGAGAACUCGGGUGAAGGAACUAGGCAAAAUGGUGCCGUAACUUCGGGAGAAGGCACGCUGACACGUAGGUGAAGUGAUUUACUCAUGGAGCUGAAGUCAGUCGAAGAUACCAGCUGGCUGCAACUGUUUAUUAAAAACACAGCACUGUGCAAACACGAAAGUGGACGUAUACGGUGUGACGCCUGCCCGGUGCCGGAAGGUUAAUUGAUGGGGUCAGCGCAAGCGAAGCUCCUGAUCGAAGCCCCGGUAAACGGCGGCCGUAACUAUAACGGUCCUAAGGUAGCGAAAUUCCUUGUCGGGUAAGUUCCGACCUGCACGAAUGGCGUAAUGAUGGCCAGGCUGUCUCCACCCGAGACUCAGUGAAAUUGAACUCGCUGUGAAGAUGCAGUGUACCCGCGGCAAGACGGAAAGACCCCGUGAACCUUUACUAUAGCUUGACACUGAACAUUGAGCCUUGAUGUGUAGGAUAGGUGGGAGGCUUUGAAGUGUGGACGCCAGUCUGCAUGGAGCCGACCUUGAAAUACCACCCUUUAAUGUUUGAUGUUCUAACGUGGACCCGUGAUCCGGGUUGCGGACAGUGUCUGGUGGGUAGUUUGACUGGGGCGGUCUCCUCCUAAAGAGUAACGGAGGAGCACGAAGGUUGGCUAAUCCUGGUCGGACAUCAGGAGGUUAGUGCAAUGGCAUAAGCCAGCUUGACUGCGAGCGUGACGGCGCGAGCAGGUGCGAAAGCAGGUCAUAGUGAUCCGGUGGUUCUGAAUGGAAGGGCCAUCGCUCAACGGAUAAAAGGUACUCCGGGGAUAACAGGCUGAUACCGCCCAAGAGUUCAUAUCGACGGCGGUGUUUGGCACCUCGAUGUCGGCUCAUCACAUCCUGGGGCUGAAGUAGGUCCCAAGGGUAUGGCUGUUCGCCAUUUAAAGUGGUACGCGAGCUGGGUUUAGAACGUCGUGAGACAGUUCGGUCCCUAUCUGCCGUGGGCGCUGGAGAACUGAGGGGGGCUGCUCCUAGUACGAGAGGACCGGAGUGGACGCAUCACUGGUGUUCGGGUUGUCAUGCCAAUGGCACUGCCCGGUAGCUAAAUGCGGAAGAGAUAAGUGCUGAAAGCAUCUAAGCACGAAACUUGCCCCGAG
This 2112-nucleotide ribosomal RNA is filed under the name Salmonella enterica subsp. enterica. RNAcentral's name for it is "partial 23S ribosomal RNA". It matches the Rfam family "Bacterial large subunit ribosomal RNA", at positions 711 to 2803 of the family's 2925-position model. The record is from RNAcentral. Lineage: Bacteria; Pseudomonadati; Pseudomonadota; Gammaproteobacteria; Enterobacterales; Enterobacteriaceae.